GGAAAUGUGGAGAACUGAACGUAAGACUGGGAAAAGAAGAAACGGAGAAACUGAAAUUGACAGAUUUGUCCAUCCCUAGUUCAUAUGAGCAUCUAUGAAUUGGCUCCGCUAGAGCAAUUGCACCACAGUGACCUCCUCAUCACCUCGUCCCGCCCCUUUCCAAUCGCCUUGAGACAGUUGUUUAGGUGAUUAAUAAAUCAGUGAUGAUGGCAAUGAAAACAACAACAAAACUAUGGGGAAACCAGAAGAAGCAUGAUGGGAGGAGUGGAGCUAACAGAAGAACAGACACAACCCAAAAACACUUCUUUACUCAUGCUGCGCCUUUAUGACUACCAUGCCUGAAUAGGGGGAAACUGAUGGUAAUUCAUGCAAAA
Long non-coding RNA from Podarcis raffonei (Aeolian wall lizard), 374 nucleotides. RefSeq lists it as uncharacterized. The record is from RefSeq and is a predicted model, not a curated record. Lineage: Eukaryota; Metazoa; Chordata; Lepidosauria; Squamata; Lacertidae. The transcript is spliced from 2 exons.